This 871-nucleotide ribosomal RNA is filed under the name uncultured Bacteroidota bacterium. RNAcentral describes it as "bacterial SSU rRNA". It matches the Rfam family "Bacterial small subunit ribosomal RNA", at positions 27 to 896 of the family's 1533-position model. The record is from RNAcentral. Lineage: Bacteria; Pseudomonadati; Bacteroidota.
GGAUGAACGCUAGCGGCAGGCUUAACACAUGCAAGUCGAGGGGCAGCACGGGUAGCAAUACCUGGUGGCGACCGGCGCAAGGGUGCGUAACGCGUGAGCAACAUGCCCUAUACAGGGGGAUAGUCCAGGGAAACUUGGUCUAAUAUCCCAUAGCAUUUAGAGGAGGCAUCUUCACUAAAUUAAAGCUUCGGUGGUAUAGGAUUGGCUCGCGUGACAUUAGCUAGAUGGUGAGGUAACGGCCCACCAUGGCUAUGAUGUCUAGGGGUUCUGAGAGGAAGACCCCCCACACUGGGACUGAGACACGGCCCAGACUCCUACGGGAGGCAGCAGUGAGGAAUAUUGGACAAUGGAUGGAAAUCUGAUCCAGCCAUGCCGCGUGCAGGAAGACGGCCCUAUGGGUUGUAAACUGCUUUUAUAUGGGAGCAAUAAGGUUUACGAGUAGACCGAUGAGAGUACCAUAUGAAUAAGCAUCGGCUAACUCCGUGCCAGCAGCCGCGGUAAUACGGAGGAUGCGAGCGUUAUCCGGAUUUAUUGGGUUUAAAGGGUGCGUAGGCGGCUUAGUAAGUCAGCGGUGAAAUUUUGCAGCUUAACUGUAACAGUGCCGUUGAUACUGCCAGGCUAGGAUUUGGUUGCUGUGGGUGGAAUGUGUGGUGUAGCGGUGAAAUGCUUAGAUAUCACACAGAAUAUCGAUUGCGAAGGCAGCUCACAAAGCCAAGAUUGACGCUGAGGCACGAAAGUGUGGGGAUCAAACAGGAUUAGAUACCCUGGUAGUCCACACUGUAAACGAUGAUAACUCGCUGCCGGCGAUACACAGUCGGUGGCCAAGCGAAAGCGAUAAGUUAUCCACCUGGGGAGUACGACCGCAAGGUUG